RNA transcript from Chelmon rostratus (copperband butterflyfish), 2629 nucleotides. It is a transcript of the gene named PLAC8 like 1, with no coding region annotated. NCBI's taxonomy places the organism in Eukaryota, Metazoa, Chordata, Actinopteri, Chaetodontiformes, Chaetodontidae. The transcript is spliced from 5 exons. The record is from RefSeq and is a predicted model, not a curated record.
CCACCCCCCUCCCCCUCCAACUCCUCAUUCCUGCUGACUCCGUGCUCGCCCGCUCCGCUUUCGCCUCCUCGCCUCACCCCUCUCUGGAUGCCAGUAGCUUCUAGUCAUGGAGCAGACGACAGUCACACACCAACCAAGACUGUCAGUCACCAAGGCUUCAGAAUCGAUGACUCAAGAGGAGGAAGCGGGGGGCUUCACCGCAGGAAGUGAAGAUGACUGGAGGUCAAACAAUGUCCCUGCAGUGACAGACCUCAUAGUCACACAGCCUGGCCUCGGCAUCACCACGACAACCGUCACCACCAUCACGCAGACGGGAGGAGACUGGAGCACUGGCCUGUUUGACGUCUGCGGAGACAAGACUACAUGCAUCCUUGGGGCUCUGGUGCCGUGCUGUUUGGACCUGAGCUUGGCUCACCAGUUUGGCGAGUGUGUGUGCAUACCUCUGCUCCCAGGAUCCACGUUUGCCAUGCGAGUCGGGAUAAGGGAGAGGUACAAGAUACGGGGCAGUGUGUGUGAGGACUGGACCACCGUGUGCUGCUGUUAUCCACUGGCCGUAUGUCAGAUGAUAAGAGAGAUGAAGCGAAGGCUAAAGACACAGACGUAUCAUGUGUCCACUGCCCUCGAAUGCUCCUGAAGAAACUCUAGACAGUAAAUGAGGCCUGCCCUCUUGCAAUGCGACACAGACGUGGGUCAUCUUAGAUAUCCGGCAUGAACAGCACAAAGAACCAACACUAUGAAUUUAUUUUUAAAUGCCCCAGAGGAUGCCUUGACCAAUAAAGCAAGCUUGUCCUACAACAUUCAAAGAAGAUUGAAAUGAUGACCCCUUUAAAGACCUGUAAGUUAUGAACAGGUGUGUAGGGAUUCAAACUGCCUUGGAGGUUGUUUGAUUCUAACUGAAGCCUACUUUUAAACUGCCGUUGGACCUCUGUGCAGAGAGAAUAUUAUGAAUAAACUUGGUAACGAUACUCUGCUUCUCCUGCAGAGGCAAGAACUCAUCAACAACAUUUUGAGUCGGGUGAAAAGCGAGCGGCGGGAUGCGUGCUGCUUUGGUUUCAGUAGCUGUCACUGGCAGCAAACAGCACUGAACUUCUGGUGCAACUCUCAGACACCAGCAAUAUUAACAAACAAGCCAACUUUCUUAAAUUAUGAAUAUUUCAAACCAAAAAGGGCAGUUCUCCAACUCCUGCCACUGUCACAUAAGCAGCUUUUUUUUGGCCAUUUUAAUAAGGAUACAACCAUAAUUGAACUCAUUGACCUCACUUUAAUACAUACAUACAAUACAUAUAUAUACAUAUAUACAUAAUAGACAAGAUAUUGAUCCCUGAAGCUUGACAACAUUAUUGACAGAUUUUUGUUAAAGGUCAGUUCACCAAAUAUCUCAGUCGCCACUAGUGAUUUCUCAACAUGCACUUGUUUUGGUUUUAUUUGAAAUAUCAGCAUUAGAAACAUGGAGAUACAUGGAAUAUUGUUCAUGCUGCUCAAACAAAAAACAAUGAACAUUUUGAUUUUAAAAGCAUGUCUCUCCAGAAAACAAUGCUCCUAGUGCUCUGGAUAUUCAGCGCAGCUCGCCGCAACAGUUCACAGGGACAAUUUCUUCCAUAGAGAGUGGUAGAAAUGAAGUGAAAAAAGUGAUUUGGGUGAACCGACCCUUUAAUUUUGUCUGGCAUGCCAAAGGUCACCAGACACAUUAUAGUGUUCAGUCCCUCUCCGACAGGAAGGGAAAAUGAAGUGAGGAAGCAUAAGGCUUUCUAGACCUUGAGGCACAAAGUGUGCGAUGGGGCCAUAACUCAACAUUAGAGACAAUAUCUAUAAUUUAGAUGAAUCAGGUUUAAAAGCGCGUCCAAGUGUGGGCAAGAAAUGCGCAGAAAAGCUUUGUUUAAUUUGAUCUGAGCAUUUAUUUGGCUGCAUGAUUGAGAGCUGUUUUAUUUAUUUCAGGAAGUGAGAUGUAGCAAGUGUACAAGUCCGCUCAGUAUGCAGAACCACUCGCCUGAUUACCCGGCAAAGCGGCCAGAGCGUAGCUCCGAUCACAGUCAACAGCUCAAAUUUGCAAAGUGAAUCCAGAUGACCCAUCCCUCCCCCAAAAGAAGAAAAUAAAUAUUCAAUAUGACUCAAAAACUAUUUUGUUGCACUACAUAACACAGCACGGAGUGGUAGAAACUGUCAUUGCAAACCAGAUCUGACGUUUGUCCCAGAGGAUUUACUGCUCAUUAUCUACUCUAUUUACUGCUGGCUGAUGUGACAUAGGAGGGUAGAUGGCAUGCAGCUCUGACAGAAUGAUGCUUCACUUUAAGCUCUGGGGCUUCUAUCCCGGUAAUAUCUCCGUGCAGUCAGUGGGUAACAGUAGAAGACUGCUCUCUGGAAAAGGUCAAGUGUGCUGCAUUGGGUAAAUAAAGGUGAAAAACAAACUAUGGAAAGCGGUUUAUUAUUAGACAAGCAAGUCAUCAUAGUGCCUUUCGCAGUGACAUGAUCCUACAGUGUAUUUAUAGGAUUUCAUGGGAAUUCAGGCUGAUUUAUUUGUUGAAAAGUAACCAAAAAUUCCUGAAAUCCUUGUGCAUGUGAGUGAUUGCCCUGUUAAAAGCAGUAAUAAUCUAUAUUAUGAAUUAUUUUUAUUCAUGCUUGUCAAUCUCAU